RNAcentral lists this ribosomal RNA (305 nucleotides) under uncultured bacterium. Its description in RNAcentral is "partial 16S ribosomal RNA". It matches the Rfam family "Bacterial small subunit ribosomal RNA", at positions 505 to 807 of the family's 1533-position model. The record is from RNAcentral.
ACAGCAGUCGCCACGGUAAUGCGAACCGUGCGAACGUUACUCGGAAUUACUGGGCGUAAAGCGUGUGUAGGUGGUUGUUUAAGUCUGUCGUGAAAGCCCUGGGCUCAACCUGGGAAUUGCGAUGGAUACUGGGCGACUAGAGUGCGGUAGAGGAUAGUGGAAUUUCCGGUGUAGCAGUGAAAUGCGUAGAGAUCGGAAGGAACAUCUGUGGCGAAGGCGACUAUCUGGGCCAACACUGACACUGAGGCACGAAAGCGUGGGGAGCAAACAGGAUUAGAUACCCGAGUAGUCCCUGUCUCUUAUAC